This 478-nucleotide ribosomal RNA is filed under the name uncultured organism. RNAcentral describes it as "partial 16S ribosomal RNA". It matches the Rfam family "Bacterial small subunit ribosomal RNA", at positions 332 to 801 of the family's 1533-position model. The record is from RNAcentral.
UACACUCCUGCGGGAGGCAGCAGUGGGGAAUUUUGGACAAUGGGGGCAACCCUGAUCCAGCAAUGCCGCGUGAGUGAAGAAGGCCUUCGGGUUGUAAAGCUCUUUUGUCAGGGAAGAAACGGUAGUAGCGAAUAACUAUUACUAAUGACGGUACCUGAAGAAUAAGCACCGGCUAACUACGUGCCAGCAGCCGCGGUAAUACGUAGGGUGCAAGCGUUAAUCGGAAUUACUGGGCGUAAAGCGUGCGCAGGCGGUUGUGUAAGUCAGAUGUGAAAUCCCCGGGCUCAACCUGGGAAUUGCAUUUGAGACUGCACGGCUAGAGUGUGUCAGAGGGGGGUAGAAUUCCACGUGUAGCAGUGAAAUGCGUAGAUAUGUGGAGGAAUACCGAUGGCGAAGGCAGCCCCCUGGGAUAACACUGACGCUCAUGCACGAAAGCGUGGGGAGCAAACAGGAUUAGAUACCCGAGUAGUCCCAUGAU